RNAcentral lists this microRNA precursor (84 nucleotides) under Branchiostoma floridae (Florida lancelet). RNAcentral describes it as "mir-2060 microRNA precursor family". It matches the Rfam family "mir-2060 microRNA precursor family". Lineage: Eukaryota; Metazoa; Chordata; Leptocardii; Amphioxiformes; Branchiostomatidae. The record is from Rfam by way of RNAcentral.
GUUUGUGUGUAGAUGGUGUUCAGCACCAGGGACAGGUGUGUUUGUGUGGAUCGUGUUCAGCACCAGGGACAGGUGUGUUUGUGU